RNAcentral lists this ribosomal RNA (497 nucleotides) under uncultured bacterium. Its description in RNAcentral is "partial 16S ribosomal RNA". It matches the Rfam family "Bacterial small subunit ribosomal RNA", at positions 28 to 507 of the family's 1533-position model. The record is from RNAcentral.
GACGAACGCUGGCGGCGUGCCUAAUACAUGCAAGUUGAGCGAUGAAGAUUGGUGCUUGCACCAAUUUGAAGAGCAGCGAACGGGUGAGUAACGCGUGGGGAAUCUGCCUUUGAGCGGGGGACAACAUUUGGAAACGAAUGCUAAUACCGCAUAACAACUUUAAACAUAAGUUUUAAGUUUGAAAGAUGCAAUUGCAUCACUCAAAGAUGAUCCCGCGUUGUAUUAGCUAGUUGGUGAGGUAAAGGCUCACCAAGGCGAUGAUACAUAGCCGACCUGAGAGGGUGAUCGGCCACAUUGGGACUGAGACACGGCCCAAACGCCUACGGGAGGCAGCAGUAGGGAAUCUUCGGCAAUAGACGAAAGUCUGACCGAGCAACGCCGCGUGAGUGAAGAAGGUUUUCGGAUCGUAAAACUCUGUUGGUAGAGAAGAACGUUGGUGAGAGUGGAAAGCUCAUCAAGUGACGGUAACUACCCAGAAAGGGACGGCUAACUACGUG